UGCACAGACCAGCCCGUCUGCAGCCUCGAGAGAGAAUAACACAGACGGCGUUGAGGUCUCCCGGGUGCAAACUCCAGCAGCCCCUACCACAUCCACCAAGCCCCCCCCGAGAAGAGUCAGUGGACAGCCCAGGUGCUGGAGAGAGUGGCGGCAGCAGAUCAAACCCCAGAGCCCCUGCCCUGGGUGGGUGCCAGCUUCCCCGAGACAUUCCGUGCCUGUGACAUUACUGUGUGCAGAGAUGAACGAGACGGGAAAAGCCACUGCACCCUGAAGAACUACAAUAUGGUGGGGGAGGCAGAUGCCAAAUCAAUGACACAGAUACCUAUUUAA
This 330-nucleotide non-coding RNA is filed under the name Pongo abelii (Sumatran orangutan). Lineage: Eukaryota; Metazoa; Chordata; Mammalia; Primates; Hominidae. The record is from RNAcentral.